AGUCUAUGAUGAAUAAUAUAUUUGCUACUCUUGACUGCAUGGAUGACGAGUAACCACCAAGAUCUCUGAGACU
Small nucleolar RNA from Hydra vulgaris (swiftwater hydra), 73 nucleotides. RefSeq annotates it as small nucleolar RNA SNORD24. NCBI's taxonomy places the organism in Eukaryota, Metazoa, Cnidaria, Hydrozoa, Anthoathecata, Hydridae. The record is from RefSeq and is a predicted model, not a curated record.